This 82-nucleotide microRNA precursor is filed under the name Cebus imitator (Panamanian white-faced capuchin). Its description in RNAcentral is "miRNA (ENSCCAG00000010358.1)". The record is from RNAcentral. Lineage: Eukaryota; Metazoa; Chordata; Mammalia; Primates; Cebidae.
UUAUGUUGGUGCAGAAGUAAUUGUAGUUUUUGCCAUUGAAAGUAAUGGCAAAAAUCACAAUUGCUUUGGCACCAACCUAAUA